GAUGCGCGAAGUGAGGGCCGCCCUCGGCUUCUUUGAAGAUGUCGAUGGAGGAAAGUCCGAGCUCCAUAGGGUAAGGUGCCGGGUAACGCCCGGGGACUGGCUCCGGCUGGUUACGGAAAGUGCCACAGAGAGUAGACCGCCGAUGGCUCUAUUAAAGAGAACAGGCAAGGGUGAAAGGGUGCGGUAAGAGCGCACCGAGCUUCCGGAAACGGAGGUUGCAAGGUAAACCCCACCUGGAGCAAGGCCAAAUAGGGGACGAUGAGAUGCCCGUUUCAUUUGAGUCCCGGGUAGGCUGCUUGAGGCUGCCAGUAAUGGCAGCCCUAGAUAAAUGGCCCUCCUGCUACCUUGGUAGCAGACAGAACUCGGCUUAUUAACGCGUGUCUGAC
This 386-nucleotide RNase P RNA is filed under the name Longimicrobiales bacterium. RNAcentral describes it as "RNase P RNA component class A". It matches the Rfam family "Bacterial RNase P class A". Rfam says of the family: Ribonuclease P (RNase P) is a ubiquitous endoribonuclease, found in archaea, bacteria and eukarya as well as chloroplasts and mitochondria. Lineage: Bacteria; Pseudomonadati; Gemmatimonadota; Longimicrobiia; Longimicrobiales. The record is from RNAcentral.